UAAUACGUAGGGGGCGAGCGUUGUCCGGAUUUAUUGGGCGUAAAGAGCUCGUAGGCGGCUUGGCAAGUCGGGUGUGAAACCUCCAGGCUCAACCUGGAGACGCCACUCGAUACUGCUAUGGCUAGAGUCCGGUAGGGGACCACGGAAUUCCUGGUGUAGCGGUGAAAUGCGCAGAUAUCAGGAGGAACACCGGUGGCGAAGGCGGUGGUCUGGGCCGGCACUGACGCUGAGGAGCGAAAGCGUGGGUAGCAAACAGGAUUAGAUACCCUGGUAGUCCACGCCGUAAACGUUGGGCACUAGGUGUGGGGCCUUAUCAACGGGUUCCGUGCCGUAGCUAACGCAUUAAGUGCCCCGCCUGGGGAGUACGGCCGCAAGGCUAAAACUCAAAGGAAUUGACGG
RNAcentral lists this ribosomal RNA (399 nucleotides) under uncultured bacterium. Its description in RNAcentral is "bacterial SSU rRNA". It matches the Rfam family "Bacterial small subunit ribosomal RNA", at positions 521 to 916 of the family's 1533-position model. The record is from RNAcentral.